This 72-nucleotide transfer RNA is filed under the name Trichonephila inaurata madagascariensis. It matches the Rfam family "tRNA". From Rfam's summary of the family: Transfer RNA (tRNA) molecules are approximately 80 nucleotides in length. Their secondary structure includes four short double-helical elements and three loops (D, anti-codon, and T loops). Lineage: Eukaryota; Metazoa; Arthropoda; Arachnida; Araneae; Nephilidae. The record is from Rfam by way of RNAcentral.
UCCUCGGUAGUAUAGUGGUCAGUAUCCCCGCCUGUCACGCAGGGAGACCGAGUUCGAUUCCCCGCCGAGUAU